This 450-nucleotide ribosomal RNA is filed under the name uncultured bacterium. RNAcentral describes it as "bacterial SSU rRNA". It matches the Rfam family "Bacterial small subunit ribosomal RNA", at positions 354 to 796 of the family's 1533-position model. The record is from RNAcentral.
GUGGGGAAUAUUGGACAAUGGGCGAAAGCCUGAUCCAGCCAUGCCGCGUGUGUGAAGAAGGUCUUCGGAUUGUAAAGCACUUUAAGUUGGGAGGAAGGGCAGUAAGUUAAUACCUUGCUGUUUUGACGUUACCGACAGAAUAAGCACCGGCUAACUUCGUGCCAGCAGCCGCGGUAAUACGAAGGGUGCAAGCGUUAAUCGGAAUUACUGGGCGUAAAGCGCGCGUAGGUGGUUCAGUAAGUUGGAAGUGAAAUCCCCGGGCUCAACCUGGGAACUGCGUUCAAAACUGCUGAGCUAGAGUACGGUAGAGGGUGGUGGAAUUUCCUGUGUAGCGGUGAAAUGCGUAGAUAUAGGAAGGAACACCAGUGGCGAAGGCGACUACCUGGACUGAUACUGACACUGAGGUGCGAAAGCGUGGGGAGCAAACAGGAUUAGAAACCCCGGUAGUCC